This 2320-nucleotide unclassified non-coding RNA is filed under the name Hevea brasiliensis (rubber tree). Lineage: Eukaryota; Viridiplantae; Streptophyta; Magnoliopsida; Malpighiales; Euphorbiaceae. The record is from RNAcentral.
AGCCAAAUGAUCCUUGAGCUAGAUUUUGAAUAUUCACUAUUUUUGUGUUGAAAAAGAUUUGUUUUACAUUUACUACAAACCAUAAUCCAAACAAUUUGAAUAAUAAUUUUCUCAACAUAUUCAGGUACUCAGCAUUCAGGAUUUUUCUCCUUUUCUUGGUUACAGAGAGUGGGAAGGUGAAAUUCGAAUUUGGGUGAUUACCCAAUUUGCAGAUGCUCUCACUACUCAUGAUACCAUCCACAAGAAAAUGGUUGACCAUAAUGUUAGUGAAACCGAAGCCAAAGCAUAUGCCCACAACAUUAUAACAGAACAUUCACUUUGUCCAGUUCCAAACAACUGAGUCAUUGUGCCUAUAUUCAUUGCUGGUGGGACGGCAAAUUGCAGCAGAAGAAUAAAUUGAUAUAAGGGAUCUGAAUGCACCAGACCAAAACGCACUGCACUUUUUACUGUGAUAAUGCCCAGAAGAGGCAGGAAAAUGUACCUAACUGCUAAUAUUCCAACUAUGAGAGUGAAACGAAUUCCCGACCCUUUUAAACCACUAAGAAGGUUUCCUCCAACUAUCAGGGUCACAAUUGGAAUGGCUGCAUCCCUGCAAUCGCAAAUUAGGUACAACAAAAAGAUGACUACUAUUACACAAUUUCUAUUAUUGAUAAACAAAUUUAGAAUCUCAGGCCUGGAAGUCAGGAUUUAUACCCAAGUAAAAAAGCAGAGUCUUCAACUGCACGAAGAGGGGCACCAGCUCCAAUCAACAGCUUUCGAAUUUGAGGGACCAAUCCGAUGACAAACCCGACAACCUAUGCUAUCAGAAGAUACUAUGAAAGCCAGUUCAAACAAGUCUUGUUUAAUUUAGUAAGGGAAUAGGGGAUACCGCUCCAGUAGUUGAAGGUGCAAGCAAUGACUUGAGAUUAAGUUUUUCUGAAAUCAUUCUUAUGCAUUUCUUGAUCUUGUCCCAAACCAUUUGUGUGCAGGAGAAAGUCUUGGCAUUUGUUUGAGACUCUAUGUUAUCAGGAAGCAAUAAGCCAUAUGUAAGCUCUUUGGAAUUGUAAUUAUUCUCCUGGAUGAAUUUUGGUGUUCCUCCAUUGGCCUUCAUGUCGACAUUAGCAACUUCUUUGUUCAUCUCACUUGAGCAAAUCCUUAUAAUGUUAUAAACAUAAGACCACAAAUAAACUGCACCUAUCUGAAGAGUAUCAAAAAAUGGAAUUUCUCGGUCAACAUAGUCAGGCCAAACAAGGAAAAAGGAAACUAAAAAUCCAUGCAGUAUAAAAAUCAAAUCAUAGUCAUCUGCUAGGAAAGCAUAAGCAGGACAUGGGAUGAUACAGUUCCUGACAACCAAAUCAAUUACUUGCUUUCAGCUUGUCAGAAAUAAGGUGGAACAAAAAACGAGCGAAAUAUAUAAAUAAUCAGAAGAUCAUUGACGGGUUAUGCUUCGCUUUAACAGGAAAUAUCAGAAUCAAUAUCAUACCGCCAUUGAAAGUGAAGCGUAAGCAAUUCCAUUUGUGUAGCAAACAUCAGGGGGUCCAAAUGGACUGCCUUUCUCCUUACAGAUUGCUGGGAUGAUGAUUAAAGGCAAAUUUCCCAUGUUUCCUGCUGCACAGCAACCCAAAAUGAGACCUUUUAGAGGUUUUGGAGGGCCUGUGAUUUUUACAAGUAUCCAUCCCAAUGCUGAGCCAAUAAUAAAUGUGACAAGGAUAUUGAAUGGCAUAAACCACAACAACUCCAUGCUUUCAAUGGUAAUUGUAUUAGCCAAGUUGCUACCCACUAGUGCUGGGUUAAACACAUAGAAAACAACUUGAUUUAUUUGCUUCCUUGUAUCCUCCCCCAAGAUAUUGACAUUGUCCAAUGCCAAAAACGAGCCAAGUCCUGUGAGUAAGAGUACUUUCAGAACUGGCAUAGAAGCAAUGACAAAUAGGUCCAGGAGGCGCAUGGUGACUGUUGCUCCUUAAUUCUUUGUGGGUGGAGAGUUUUUUUAAGAGGAGAAGGAAAGGGAAUAUUCCGUUGAAGGGAGGAGGAAGUCGAACAGGAGAUUGAUAAAGUAAGAGAAAGCAUUGGAAGAAAAUGGUAACAAGUAGGCGGCUUUCAAAAGAGGAGAUAGUGGCACUGGUUUGGUAUAGUUUAAACUUUUAUAUUUAUUUUGUAAGAUUCCCAAUUGUUUUAAAUUCCUUUUGGGAACCAAAGACAAGAACAGUGAGGAGAUGAAAGAUGCUCCAAAUCUUAUUUCUUUUCUAAAUGCUAGAAUACCAUGAUAAUGAAAAAUGGCACUCUGGGGGUUGCCAUCACUUAAUGGCUUUUUCUAGCUUGUAAGCUUAAAAACCCAUAUCAU